RNAcentral lists this ribosomal RNA (281 nucleotides) under uncultured bacterium. RNAcentral's name for it is "partial 16S ribosomal RNA". It matches the Rfam family "Bacterial small subunit ribosomal RNA", at positions 72 to 358 of the family's 1533-position model. The record is from RNAcentral.
GGGGAAUCAAUACCCAGGAGCAGACGGGUGAGUAAUCCGUGGUCAACAGAAAUCUGUGUGGGGAAUAACUAGCCGAAAGGUUAGCUAAUACCUGCCACGAUCGUUUUGGGGCAUCUCGAGACGAUGAAAGGAGCAAUCCGCACGGAGAGGGGACUGCGUCCCAUUAGUUAGUUGGUGGGGUAAUGGCCUACCAAGACUCCGAUGGGUAGCUGGCUUGAGAGAGCGACCAGCCACACUGGAACUGAGACACGGUCCAGACUCCUACGGGAGGCAGCAGUGGG